Gastrolobium bilobum is the source of this 223-nucleotide long non-coding RNA. RefSeq lists it as uncharacterized. The record is from RefSeq and is a predicted model, not a curated record. The transcript has 3 exons. Lineage: Eukaryota; Viridiplantae; Streptophyta; Magnoliopsida; Fabales; Fabaceae.
CGUGCUGGAUUCUGUGAUUUUCGCGCUCUUGGAGGACAAUAAUCGCAAGUUUAUCUAUGUUGAGAUGGUAUUUUUCCAGAGAUGGUGGAGACAGCAAAGUAAAGCUAUGAAAAAUUUAGGUCAAGGAACUUGUCAAUUCGGGUCAGAUGGAAUUCAUAAAUGGGGGUAUGUGUAUGCAUGAUGAGGCCACCCCACAUUACAUUGACCUAAUUGAUCAGACCAC